This is a long non-coding RNA of Neofelis nebulosa (Clouded leopard), 1552 nucleotides long. RefSeq lists it as uncharacterized. The transcript is spliced from 3 exons. Lineage: Eukaryota; Metazoa; Chordata; Mammalia; Carnivora; Felidae. The record is from RefSeq and is a predicted model, not a curated record.
GAGGAGGGUGAGACAGACAAUCCCAAGGAGGUUCCGCACUGUCAGCACGGAGCCUGACAUGGGGCUGGAACCCACAAACCAUGAGAUCAUGACCUGAGCUGAAAUCAAGAGUCAGAUGCCCAGGCGCCCCAUGGACACAAUAUUACUGCUGUUCCUGCUCUGUUAAUCUAGUGUGAUGUCUUCAUUUUACAGAUGAGAAACUGAGGCCCAGAGAGGGCAGAGCUUCAGCCAAGGCCACCCAGCAGGCCACUGGCCCCCUGACCUGGAAAGCAGCGCUCCAGGGUUCUAGCCCAGGUAUGUCACCAGUGACUGGUUGUGUGACCGUGGCCUGGUCUGUUCUCUCUGGGCCUCGGUUUUCCUGUUGGUGAACCAACAAGGAAGGCUGGUCAUUCCUCCACCUGCUCCCAGCUCCAUCAGACCAGUGGGGGACACUAUGACCAAGCCCCAAGGCUUGUGCUCGGAGGUCUGGGGCUAGCAGUUGCUGAGGUCACUCAAGGACCCACAAGCGCUGAGGACGUGCAGUGGAAUGAACAGCCAUCGUGGAAAUAAUUCGGAAAUGGGAAGAGCCGCCCACCAUCCUAGCCGCCGGCUUCGCCUCCCGGCAGCUUCGCUGAAGCACUUGCCAUGGGUCACACACCGCGUUUUCCGUGGCUGCUCUCACUGAACGUGCACGACCGGCCAGUGACGUAGGGACGGGCUGCGGAUAGGGAAACUGAGGCACGGAGCUGUCAGGUCAUCUCCUCAAGUCACACAGCUAGCAUGUGAUAAAGGAGCAUUUCUGAGUAGCCCCUGGUGCCAGCCCUGCCUCAGAGCAGAGACAUAAAACUCCUGAGACGGGGAGAGACAUCACCUUCGUUUUCUGCCGAUUUUCACUGAACUUAGCAGUAAGAGCUAUUUUGGUCACGGCCAUAUGACCGUGAGGCGAGAGUGGCCAACUGUCUCAGUUUGCCUCGGUUUCCUGGGAUGCAGAGCUUUUAGUGCUAAAGCAGGGACAGUCCAUCUGUUGCCCCAGGCAAAUGGAGACAGUCGGUCACCCUAGGGGCACAGAGCACAAUGUGCUUUCCGAGUCAUUGCCUGGUGUUGGACCCCUGCACUCUUUCCCUUCUUGGCUGGUCAGGCUGGGCAGCCUCGUGACCACAGCUCGUCACUGAGCGUUCUUCCCUUGGGAACCCCUCCCCGGGUGGGAGAAGAUGGGCUUUGGGUGUGGAGAUGUACGUGAGUCAACCCCACUCUCCUGACCGGUCCCUCAUCUGAGUCUGCAGAGGGGGUCAGCCAGGAAAUUGGGACAGGGCUGAGGGCAGUGGUGAGGGCCUGUGGUGUGUUGGAGCCUGCUCGUACGGGCUCGUAGGAGUUGAUCGUCAAACACAGUCACUAUUAAGAAUUAAAUCACACGUGGGGCCCCCCGGGUGGCUCAGUCCAUUAAGCGUCUGACUUCAGCUCAGGUCAUGAUCUCACAGUUCAUGAGUUUGAGGCCCGCGUCGGGCUCUGUGCUGACAGCUCAGAACCUGGAGCCUGUUUCGGAUUCUGUGUCUCCCUCUCUGUCUCUGCCCCG